CGAAUGACUUCUUUUUUAUUCGAGAACAGCCAUCAACUCAAGUUUACAUUAUAUAAAGAUAAAGAAUCAGAAGAUCUUUGUUUGAAUUAAGAAUUUGUUUGUCCUAAUAUUUUGAAACUUAAUCAAAAUUUUGGAUUUUUCACUGUCUUCUUGACUAUGAUUUCGAAGUUAAACUUUGUGUGUACACUAAGUUACCAUUUUCUCAAUUUUCUUUUAACAGCAUGGUGGGUGGACCAUACAACUAACAAUGAUGAUUCAGACUUUCUGGUAUCAGGGACCCCGUUUUAAUUUGUUUUAGUUAAUAAAAUAAAUGGAGAAAGCUACAAAUUAUAUAUUCAUUGAAACCAACUACUUCCUUAACACCUUUCAUUCUUCCCUCUCUUUGAAUAAUUUCGGAUUAGAUUACUGAUAACAAAUUUGAAUACUUGAAAAAUCGUCAAAGUCCAUUUGGAUGAACAAACACCGCUAUAAUUCUUCACACAUCAAGCUCAAAACUAGUGGAGAUAGUUUAUUAUCAUGUCUCUGUUUCUCAGUUAACACCUCCCAAGAAGUUGUACUAGAAAUGACUAACUGAUCCAUGCAACAAAAUUGCACUUACCUGGGGGGAGUUUAUUAUGAGGUCUCUGUCUUUUCAUUUGAUGUCCAUCAUCACAUGGAGGAAGCUGGGAUACAUAUAAUGGCUUGUCAUCAUUUCGUUGUUUUUUAAGCCGCUGAAUCCUUUCCUCGCGUUCCUAUUGGAAAAGCACACAUCAAACAUCUUGCUACUAAGUAUAUAUGGCUUUCAGAUUACAAUUUUAAAAAAAGAUGUUUCGACGCGGGGGGGGGGGGGUUGUAGUCAGUAGUCACUGCAGAGAAUGGGGUCAUAUUUUGCCAAUUAACUCAGUAACAAGUAUUGUUUGCAAAAAAUGCAAGUAAAGACACCAGCCAAUUCGACAAUUUCGAGGUGUAAAUGUGGACUGAUAUGGAGGAGAAGAAUUGGGGGCAAAAAUGACGAAUAGAACCAUGACUAUCUCACUCAUCUACCAAGUACCGUGACAUUUCACAAGCCCACACUAAAAGUUUUAAAACAUAUAAACUGUCGGCAUUAUUGUAAAGCGAGUGAUUCUGCAGCGUGUAAGAAAGAGAGAGAAGGAAGGAGAGGAGAGAAGAAGAAUAUGCGGGAGGAAAUCUGUAAUUUCAGUGUUAAUAAUAAUUGUCUGACAAUAACCAGAAGCAUUUAAAUUUUUUAUUUUUUUUUUAUUUUUUUGGUGCACUGGUAUUCUA
This 1263-nucleotide long non-coding RNA is filed under the name Olea europaea subsp. europaea. The record is from RNAcentral. Lineage: Eukaryota; Viridiplantae; Streptophyta; Magnoliopsida; Lamiales; Oleaceae.